Danio rerio (zebrafish) is the source of this 115-nucleotide ribosomal RNA. Lineage: Eukaryota; Metazoa; Chordata; Actinopteri; Cypriniformes; Danionidae. The record is from Ensembl.
GCUGGCAGCUAGCUCUUUUUAACUUUCACAUGGUCACCCACUGAAGCUAAGCAAGACUGUGCCCAGUCAGUACCUGGAUAGGAGACCACAUGGGAAAGCUAGGUUGCUGCCAGAA